UGGACUACUGAAUAAGACAUUGGAGAG
This 27-nucleotide non-coding RNA is filed under the name Mus musculus (house mouse). The record is from RNAcentral. Lineage: Eukaryota; Metazoa; Chordata; Mammalia; Rodentia; Muridae.